This 403-nucleotide ribosomal RNA is filed under the name uncultured bacterium. Its description in RNAcentral is "partial 16S ribosomal RNA". It matches the Rfam family "Bacterial small subunit ribosomal RNA", at positions 30 to 526 of the family's 1533-position model. The record is from RNAcentral.
AUUGAACGCUGGCGGCAGGCCUAACACAUGCAAGUCGAGCGAGCGGCGGACGGGUGAGUAAUGUAUGGGGACUGCCCGAUAGAGGGGGAUAACUACUGGCAACGGUAGCUAAUACCGCAUACUAUCUGCUAACCCAUAUGGGAUUAGCUAGUAGGUGAGGUAAUGGCUCACCUAGGCGACGAUCCCUAGCUGGUCUGAGAGGAUGAUCAGACACAAGGGGACUGAGAAAAGGCCCAGAAUCCUACGGAGGCAGCAGGGGGGAAUAUUGCAAAAGGGGCGCAAGACUGAUGCAGCCAUGCCGGGGGUAUGAAGAAGGCCCUAGGGUUGUAAAGUACUUUCAGUCGGGAGGCGUUACCGACAGAAGAAGCACCGGCUAACUCCGUGCCAGCCGCCGCGGUAAUUC